RNAcentral lists this ribosomal RNA (1468 nucleotides) under Escherichia coli. RNAcentral's name for it is "partial 23S ribosomal RNA". It matches the Rfam family "Bacterial large subunit ribosomal RNA", at positions 707 to 2157 of the family's 2925-position model. The record is from RNAcentral. Lineage: Bacteria; Pseudomonadati; Pseudomonadota; Gammaproteobacteria; Enterobacterales; Enterobacteriaceae.
GUAUAGACCCGAAACCCGGUGAUCUAGCCAUGGGCAGGUUGAAGGUUGGGUAACACUAACUGGAGGACCGAACCGACUAAUGUUGAAAAAUUAGCGGAUGACUUGUGGCUGGGGGUGAAAGGCCAAUCAAACCGGGAGAUAGCUGGUUCUCCCCGAAAGCUAUUUAGGUAGCGCCUCGUGAAUUCAUCUCCGGGGGUAGAGCACUGUUUCGGCAAGGGGGUCAUCCCGACUUACCAACCCGAUGCAAACUGCGAAUACCGGAGAAUGUUAUCACGGGAGACACACGGCGGGUGCUAACGUCCGUCGUGAAGAGGGAAACAACCCAGACCGCCAGCUAAGGUCCCAAAGUCAUGGUUAAGUGGGAAACGAUGUGGGAAGGCCCAGACAGCCAGGAUGUUGGCUUAGAAGCAGCCAUCAUUUAAAGAAAGCGUAAUAGCUCACUGGUCGAGUCGGCCUGCGCGGAAGAUGUAACGGGGCUAAACCAUGCACCGAAGCUGCGGCAGCGACGCUUAUGCGUUGUUGGGUAGGGGAGCGUUCUGUAAGCCUGUGAAGGUGUACUGUGAGGUAUGCUGGAGGUAUCAGAAGUGCGAAUGCUGACAUAAGUAACGAUAAAGCGGGUGAAAAGCCCGCUCGCCGGAAGACCAAGGGUUCCUGUCCAACGUUAAUCGGGGCAGGGUGAGUCGACCCCUAAGGCGAGGCCGAAAGGCGUAGUCGAUGGGAAACAGGUUAAUAUUCCUGUACUUGGUGUUACUGCGAAGGGGGGACGGAGAAGGCUAUGUUGGCCGGGCGACGGUUGUCCCGGUUUAAGCGUGUAGGCUGGUUUUCCAGGCAAAUCCGGAAAAUCAAGGCUGAGGCGUGAUGACGAGGCACUACGGUGCUGAAGCAACAAAUGCCCUGCUUCCAGGAAAAGCCUCUAAGCAUCAGGUAACAUCAAAUCGUACCCCAAACCGACACAGGUGGUCAGGUAGAGAAUACCAAGGCGCUUGAGAGAACUCGGGUGAAGGAACUAGGCAAAAUGGUGCCGUAACUUCGGGAGAAGGCACGCUGAUAUGUAGGUGAAGUCCCUCGCGGAUGGAGCUGAAAUCAGUCGAAGAUACCAGCUGGCUGCAACUGUUUAUUAAAAACACAGCACUGUGCAAACACGAAAGUGGACGUAUACGGUGUGACGCCUGCCCGGUGCCGGAAGGUUAAUUGAUGGGGUCAGCGCAAGCGAAGCUCUUGAUCGAAGCCCCGGUAAACGGCGGCCGUAACUAUAACGGUCCUAAGGUAGCGAAAUUCCUUGUCGGGUAAGUUCCGACCUGCACGAAUGGCGUAAUGAUGGCCAGGCUGUCUCCACCCGAGACUCAGUGAAAUUGAACUCGCUGUGAAGAUGCAGUGUACCCGCGGCAAGACGGAAAGACCCCGUGAACCUUUACUAUAGCUUGACACUGAACAUUGAGCCUUGAUGUGUAGGAUAGGUGGGAGGCUU